This 1486-nucleotide ribosomal RNA is filed under the name metagenome. Its description in RNAcentral is "bacterial SSU rRNA". It matches the Rfam family "Bacterial small subunit ribosomal RNA". The record is from RNAcentral.
AGAGUUUGAUCCUGGCUCAGGAUGAACGCUAGCUACAGGCUUAACUCAUGCAAGUCGAGGGGCAGCAUGGUCUUAGCUUGCUAAGGCCGAUGGCGACCGGCGCACGGGUGAGUAACACGUAUCCAACCUGCCGUCUACUCUUGGACAGCCUUCUGAAAGGAAGAUUAAUACAAGAUGGCAUCAUGAGUCCGCAUGUUCACAUGAUUAAAGGUAUUCCGGUAGACGAUGGGGAUGCGUUCCAUUAGAUAGUAGGCGGGGUAACGGCCCACCUAGUCUUCGAUGGAUAGGGGUUCUGAGAGGAAGGUCCCCCACAUUGGAACUGAGACACGGUCCAAACUCCUACGGGAGGCAGCAGUGAGGAAUAUUGGUCAAUGGGCGAGAGCCUGAACCAGCCAAGUAGCGUGAAGGAUGACUGCCCUAUGGGUUGUAAACUUCUUUUAUAAAGGAAUAAAGUCGGGUAUGCAUACCCGUUUGCAUGUACUUUAUGAAUAAGGAUCGGCUAACUCCGUGCCAGCAGCCGCGGUAAUACGGAGGAUCCGAGCGUUAUCCGGAUUUAUUGGGUUUAAAGGGAGCGUAGAUGGAUGUUUAAGUCAGUUGUGAAAGUUUGCGGCUCAACCGUAAAAUUGCAGUUGAUACUGGAUAUCUUGAGUGCAGUUGAGGCAGGCGGAAUUCGUGGUGUAGCGGUGAAAUGCUUAGAUAUCACGAAGAACUCCGAUUGCGAAGGCAGCCUGCUAAGCUGCAACUGACAUUGAGGCUCGAAAGUGUGGGUAUCAAACAGGAUUAGAUACCCUGGUAGUCCACACGGUAAACGAUGAAUACUCGCUGUUUGCGAUAUACAGCAAGCGGCCAAGCGAAAGCGUUAAGUAUUCCACCUGGGGAGUACGCCGGCAACGGUGAAACUCAAAGGAAUUGACGGGGGCCCGCACAAGCGGAGGAACAUGUGGUUUAAUUCGAUGAUACGCGAGGAACCUUACCCGGGCUUAAAUUGCAGAUGAAUUACGGUGAAAGCCGUAAGCCGCAAGGCAUCUGUGAAGGUGCUGCAUGGUUGUCGUCAGCUCGUGCCGUGAGGUGUCGGCUUAAGUGCCAUAACGAGCGCAACCCUUGUUGUCAGUUACUAACAGGUUCUGCUGAGGACUCUGACAAGACUGCCAUCGUAAGAUGUGAGGAAGGUGGGGAUGACGUCAAAUCAGCACGGCCCUUACGUCCGGGGCUACACACGUGUUACAAUGGGGGGUACAGAGGGCCGCUACCACGCGAGUGGAUGCCAAUCCCCAAAACCUCUCUCAGUUCGGACUGGAGUCUGCAACCCGACUCCACGAAGCUGGAUUCGCUAGUAAUCGCGCAUCAGCCACGGCGCGGUGAAUACGUUCCCGGGCCUUGUACACACCGCCCGUCAAGCCAUGGGAGCCGGGGGUACCUGAAGUGCGUAACCGCGAGGAGCGCCCUAGGGUAAAACUGGUGACUGGGUCUAAGUCGAAACAAGGUA